GACGAACGCUGGCGGCGUGCCUAAUACAUGCAAGUAGAACGCUGAAGGAGGAGCUUGCUCUUCUGGAUGAGUUGCGAACGGGUGAGUAACGCGUAGGUAACCUGCCUGGUAGCGGGGGAUAACUCUUGGAAACGAUAGCUAAUACCGCAUAACAGUAGAUGUUGCAUGACAUUUACUUAAAAGUUGCAAUUGCAUCACUACCAGAUGGACCUGCGUUGUAUUAGCUAGUUGGUGGGGUAACGGCUCACCAAGGCGACGAUACAUAGCCGACCUGAGAGGGUGAUCGGCCACCCUGGGACUGAGACACGGCCCAGACUCCUACGGGAGGCAGCAGUAGGGAAUCUUCGGCAAUGGACGGAAGUCUGACCGAGCAACGCCGCGUGAGUGAAGAAGGUUGUCGGAUCGUAAAGCUCUGUUGUAAGAGAAGAACGAGUGUGAGAGUGGAAAGUUCACACUGUGACGGUAGCUUACCAGAAAGGGACGGCUAACUACGUG
RNAcentral lists this ribosomal RNA (495 nucleotides) under uncultured bacterium. RNAcentral's name for it is "partial 16S ribosomal RNA". It matches the Rfam family "Bacterial small subunit ribosomal RNA", at positions 28 to 507 of the family's 1533-position model. The record is from RNAcentral.